This 463-nucleotide ribosomal RNA is filed under the name uncultured bacterium. RNAcentral's name for it is "partial 16S ribosomal RNA". It matches the Rfam family "Bacterial small subunit ribosomal RNA", at positions 28 to 507 of the family's 1533-position model. The record is from RNAcentral.
GAUGAACGCUGACAGAAUGCUUAACACAUGCAAGUCUUUGGCGAAGCUGUGCUUGCACAGCCUAGCCAAGGCGGACGGGUGAGUAACGCGUAAGGAACUUGCCCUGCAGUCAGGGAUAACAGACGGAAACGACUGAUAAGACCUGGUAAAGUCAGGCGGUCUCAUGUCCAGCCUGAUGAAAAGAGAUGCUGCAGGAGAGCCUUGCGUCCUAUUAGCUUGUUGGUGGGGUAACGGCCCACCAAGGCGAUGAUAGGUAGCCGGCCUGAGAGGGUGGACGGCCACAAGGGGACUGAGAUACGGCCCUUACUCCUACGGGAGGCAGCAGUGGGGAAUAUUGGACAAUGGGGGCAACCCUGAUCCAGCAAUUCUGUGUGCACGAUGAAGGUUUUCGGAUUGUAAAGUGCUUUCAGCAGGGAAGAAAAAAAUGACGGUACCUGCAGAAGAAGCGACGGCUAAAUACGUG